Molecule: long non-coding RNA, 1501 nt
Filed under: Anolis carolinensis (green anole)
Lineage: Eukaryota; Metazoa; Chordata; Lepidosauria; Squamata; Anolidae
Description: lncRNA (ENSACAG00000043671.1)
Source: RNAcentral
GAAGGGGUCAGCCAGCCUUUCUUAUGCUGAGCUGAGCUUCAGGUACAAAGAAGUACUCUGCCUCUCUGCACACCUCUCUGUCCCAGCAUGCAAUUUCUAAGAAGGCGCUAAAAGGUGUCUCUCCAGAAAUGGAGGAUGAGGAGGGCUACGUGGCUCUUAAUGUUUGCACAAGGAAAGGGCGCCAGCUUUACCCAGGAACCCAGGAACCAAAAACCCAGCUGAGCCACCAACGCUGGUGUCAGAUCAUUAUUGGAGCUGGAGGUGUUGUUUUCCUUCUUCUAGCAGGAGCUGCCAUAGCUUUGCGAAUUUUUGCUUUUCAGACGAGGCAAUAUAUAGAUGCUCUGGAGAAACCUUCUGUCUCUCAAGAACUCCGCAAUGGCACACAAGAUAAGACUAGCCUGGAGAAUGUCAUCUCUCACUUGAAACAAUUUUUGUGUAAGCCGCUUCGUAUCAGCUUAACAGAGAGCUUUAAGUGCAAACUUUGCCCACAGAAUUGGUUUCGUUAUGGGAACAAGUGCUACUGGGUCUCGAAAAAACAAGAAACUUGGAAGAAGGGUCAGGAAGACUGCAAAGCAAAAGACUCUCAGAUGCUGGUGGUACAGAAUCAGGAUGAAGUGGCUUUUAUUCAGAGUGUUAUUGGAGAAACGCAGUUGCUAUGGAUUGGACUGACAACCACAUUCCCUGAAAACAAAUUGACCUGGGUGGAUGGUUCCUCCCUAGAUGAAAAACAGUAAGUAUUUCUGCUUAAUGUUGUCAUCACAAGUUGAUAAACAAUAUUUUUAAAUCUUUUUUUUUUGUGAAACAAAGAAAGCAAAAAAGGUAUCUAUCACAGCCACUCAAGUGAACAAUUUUGGAUUCUGGAACAUUUAGCAUUUCCAGUCUGUAUGGAGGAUAUAUAUAUAUUCUUUAUACAGGUUAGAAAUCCUAAAUGUUCUAGGUAGUCCCCGAGUUACAAACAUCUCACUUACAAAUGACUCAUGGUUAAGAACAGGGGUUAGAUAAAUCAUUCCUGGAAGAGUUAUCAUAGGGAAAGGUUGUCCACCACCAAUCUUUAUUUCCACAACAAGACAAAUUUUCCAAAAUCCAUAUAUCACAGGGACAGAAAGUGAGAUGAAAUCUUCUGAACAGGGGCACAGACAGCAAAAGAAACACCUUACUUACUUAUUUACUUACUUAGGCGAUCUCUCGUAGCCCAGGGAUGAUGGUCCUCCAAGUGUAGUGUCUUGGCGGUGGAUGCAUAGGUGGCUGUGGAGACCUAUUCUUGACCCACAUGUUCUUCUGCAGUGAGGACAUCAGUUUCCAGAUGGAAGGUGGUCCUGGCCAGGGUUGGCUUGAUGCACCUUCCUCUUGGCACAUUUCUCCCUUAAGCCCUCCAUUCAUGCCUCUUUGAAUUCCACAGCACUGCUGGUCACAGCUGACCUCCAGUUAGAGUGCUCAAGGGUCAGGGAUUCCCAGUUCUUGGUGUCUAUGGCACAGUUUUUGAGGUUAACUUUAAGCCCAU